GCUCCGCAUCUCAGGUGAAAUUAGUCCCACCCCAUCAGCUGGCUAGGGCCCUUCCCUGGGCUCUUAACUUGAAUUGCCCCCCAGUUAGGAGCUCAGUCCCCGGAGCUCUUAAGGGUGCUUUCUAUUUGAAGAGUCUCGUCACUGAGAGGACCCUUAAUGGCGUUCUGGAAUCCUGAAAAGCAGCCCCCAGAGGCUAGUGGAACAGCCCGGGGAGAAAUGCAGAAAUGAGGAAGUUCAUCGCCUGGUCUCUAGGUGUGCUGCCCUCAAGCCUGAGAUUGGGCAGAUGCCACGACCUCCCUUCUGCCCAGCCCCAAGCGGUCUGCCUGGCUCCAACCACAGGGCAGCACGGGGCCAAAAGCAGGAAGAGCAGGUGUAGGAAAUUCUCAAUGUCACAGAACCUUUGUGGAGUUGAAAAGAACGCUCAGAUCAUCGAGUUUUACAGUUUCAUUUUCAGGUGAAGACACGGAAGCCCAGACGGGUGGCAGGGCAAACACUAAACGAGAUGUUGCAGGCAAGGCACUUAAGGACCUGGGCUUGACAAAUACCGGCUACUGUGGUUCUACAGAGGGGGAAGACAACGGCAGAGAGCUUUUGAACAUACACAACUGGAAGUUUCUCCACGUCCAGGACUUGUUGUCCCCUGCGCAUUUCACCGGACGCUCUAAGGGUCCUCUUCAUACCUGUCGAUAACCUGGAAGUGGGAAUGAGUCCCCCAUUUUACAGAAGGAGGAGCAGAAGCUUAAGAGGGCUGUAGGAACUGCCUGAGAUCACAGCAUGGAGAACGUAGAACACCCCACGGCGCGGGACAGCGUCUAGCACACAGGAGGUACUUGUUGGUCUCAGCUCCUAGACCUGCUGUAGAUGAUGGAAUAAAGGAACCACGCAACAUUUGUGCCAACGCUGACAUGAGGCUGCCCUCUGCUGGCCAAAGGAGUCUCUGCAGUCCGGGCCUGCCUCUUGCCUUAAGGGGGAGGAUGGAUCCCAAAGGAC
Molecule: long non-coding RNA, 990 nt
Organism: Prionailurus viverrinus (fishing cat)
Lineage: Eukaryota; Metazoa; Chordata; Mammalia; Carnivora; Felidae
Exons: 7
Source: RefSeq, a predicted model, not a curated record